GAAACAGUGGCUAAGACUGGAUAGGAAGAUAAAAGGCAUCUUUUAUCUUUUAAAAGACCUAGUAAUAGGUAUGCUUUAGGAGGGGCUUGCGCCAUAUUAGUUAGUUGGUAGGGUAAUGGCCUACCAAGACGAUGAUGUGUAGCUGGACUGAGAGGUUGAACAGCCACAUUGGGACUGAGACACGGCCCAAACUCCUACGGGAGGCAGCAGUAGGGAAUUUUCGGCAAUGGAGGAAACUCUGACCGAGCAACGCCGCGUGAAUGACGAAGUACUUCGGUAUGUAAAGUUCUUUUAUCAAGGAAGAAAAGCAAAUGGCGAACCAUUUGUUUGCCGGUACUUGAUGAAUAAGCCCCGGCUAAUUAUGUGCCAGCAGCCGCGGUAAGACAUAAGGGGCAAGUGUUAUCCGGAAUUAUUGGGCGUAAAGGGUGCGUAGGCGGUCUAGUAAGUCAGUGGUGUAAUGGCAACGCUUAACGUUGUCCGGCUAUUGAAACUGCUAAACUUGAGUUAGAUAGAGGCGAGUGGAAUUCCAUGUGUAGCGGUAAAAUGCGUAAAUAUAUGGAGGAACACCAGAGGCGUAGGCGGCUCGCUGGGUCUUAACUGACGCUGAGGCACGAAAGCGUGGGGAGCAAACAGGAUUAGAUACCCUGGUAGUCCACGCCGUAAACGAUGAGUACUAAGUGUCGGGUUAAACCGGUACUGAAGUUAACACAUUAAGUACUCCGCCUGAGUAGUACGUACGCAAGUAUGAAACUUAAAGGAAUUGACGGGACUCCGCACAAGCGGUGGAUCAUGUUGUUUAAUUCGAAGAUACCCGAAAAACCUUACCAGGUCUUGACAUGUUUUUGCAAAAUGAUAGUAAUAUCGUGGAGGUUACCAGAAACACAGGUGGUGCAUGGUUGUCGUCAGCUCGUGUCGUGAGAUGUUAGGUUAAGUCCUAAAACGAGCGAAACCCUUAUCGUUAGUUGCCAGCACGUUAUGGUGGGGGACUUUAACGAGACUGCCAAUGAUAAAUUGGAGGAAGGUGAGGAUCACGUCAAAUCAGCAUGCCCCUUAUGACCUGGGCUACAAACGUGAUACAAUGGCUGUUACAAAGGGUAGCUGAAACGCAAGUUCUUGGCCAAUCCCCAAAAACAGUCCCAGUCCGGAUUGAAGUCUGCAACUCGACUUCAUGAAGUCGGAAUCGCUAGUAAUCGCGAAUCAGCAUGUCGCGGUGAAUACGUUCUCGGGGUUUGUACACACCGCCCGUCA
Molecule: ribosomal RNA, 1248 nt
Filed under: Phytoplasma sp.
Lineage: Bacteria; Bacillati; Mycoplasmatota; Mollicutes; Acholeplasmatales; Acholeplasmataceae
Also listed under: 1 other name
Description: bacterial SSU rRNA
Rfam family: Bacterial small subunit ribosomal RNA
Source: RNAcentral